Molecule: ribosomal RNA, 518 nt
Filed under: Staphylococcus pseudintermedius
Lineage: Bacteria; Bacillati; Bacillota; Bacilli; Caryophanales; Staphylococcaceae
Description: partial 23S ribosomal RNA
Rfam family: Bacterial large subunit ribosomal RNA
Source: RNAcentral
AGAACUUGAAACCGUGUGCUUACAAGUAGUCAGAGCCCGUUAAUGGGUGAUGGCGUGCCUUUUGUAGAAUGAACCGGCGAGUUACGAUCUGAUGCAAGGUUAAGCAGAAAAUGUGGAGCCGUAGCGAAAGCGAGUCUGAAUAGGGCGAAUGAGUAUUUGGUCGUAGACCCGAAACCAGGUGAUCUACCCUUGGUCAGGUUGAAGUUCAGGUAACACUGAAUGGAGGACCGAACCGACUUACGUUGAAAAGUGAGCGGAUGAACUGAGGGUAGCGGAGAAAUUCCAAUCGAACUUGGAGAUAGCUGGUUCUCUCCGAAAUAGCUUUAGGGCUAGCCUCAAGUGAUGAUUAUUGGAGGUAGAGCACUGUUUGGACGAGGGGCCCCUCUCGGGUUACCGAAUUCAGACAAACUCCGAAUGCCAAAUAAUUUAACUUGGGAGUCAGAAUGUGGGUGAUAAGGUCCAUAUUCGAAAGGGAAACAGCCCAGACCACCAGCUAAGGUCCCAAAAUAUAUGUUAAG